GGCGGGGAAGAGAGGUAGCAGAAGGAGAGGAAGGGGGAAGCAGUUAUUUGAGAUUUGCAGUUUUAAAAAUCCUGUAAGAAUGGCCUUGCUUGCUAUGUGGUUUUGAAAAAAAUUUGACAGCAACUUAAAGCUUACAUCAGGGGAGCCAGGCCCAUCUAUAAAAUGGGUAAGAUCUGUUAAAAAUAAAUUUCCCCUACCAUGCAGGGUGCUGGGGCUCCAAACGACAGCCCGCCCGAGAGAUCUGGCCUCGCGAAUUCCGAAGGAGAGAAUUAAAUGGAGAAGGAGGCGGGGAGGAGGGAGGUGAGGGUGAGUGGGGAGGAGAUAAACCCUCUCCAACACACCCAAAUGACCAGAUUCAUCACGGCACGAAACUUCACAAGUUACACCCACUCCCUCUGCCAGAAGCCGAGGGAAGCCUGCUGCUUCCGCAUUUCGGUUACUGGAAGUUUGGGAGAUGUGAAGCAAGACAGAAGCACGCGCGCCUCGCGGUCGGACCACUGUUGACCGAGGCCCACCUUUCGAGAGCCUAGAGCCAGGAGAAGGAGGAGGUUGGUUGGUCCCACAGGGGGUGGCAUCUGAAUCCGAGUGACUCGCCUAGGAUGUGAGCAGCCCCUGCGGAUGGAUGACAUGUUUGGAGAUUUUGCGAAAGCCUUUUCUGUUUGGGAUGGGGUAAGUAAUGGCAUUUGUGGCGGGCUGGAGAAUUUAAGCUUUUCAGGUCCUGAUUUGU
Molecule: long non-coding RNA, 727 nt
Filed under: Dasypus novemcinctus (nine-banded armadillo)
Lineage: Eukaryota; Metazoa; Chordata; Mammalia; Cingulata; Dasypodidae
Description: lncRNA (ENSDNOG00000051038.1)
Source: RNAcentral